Molecule: ribosomal RNA, 253 nt
Filed under: uncultured bacterium
Lineage: Bacteria
Description: partial 16S ribosomal RNA
Rfam family: Bacterial small subunit ribosomal RNA
Source: RNAcentral
UACGAAGGGUGCUAGCGUUGUUCGGAAUUACUGGGCGUAAAGCGCGCGUAGGCGGCCACGCAAGUCAGAGGUGAAAGCCCGGAGCUCAACUCCGGAAUUGCCUUUGAAACUGCAUGGCUAGAGUAUUGGAGGGGAGUGCGGAAUUGCUAAUGUAGAGGUGAAAUUCGUAGAUAUUAGCAGGAACACCGGUGGCGAAGGCGGCACUCUGGACAAUUACUGACGCUAAAGUGCGAAAGCGUGGGGAGCAAACAGG